GCACAGGCAGAGUGCUGUCACCUGGCAUAGCUUCAGUGGUCCUGCAUGGUGAUGGGCUCUUGGUGCCAAGGAGCUCUGCCUGUGGUUGGGCCCCUAGUGUGGGUGGUAGAAUCAAAGGGUGCCCAGUGGGCACACAUUGAGCCAUAGGGAUGGGCAAGCCUGGAAAAGGGCCCAUUACCGUCCCCAUGUGACCAGCCCUGCCUGGUUGGGGAGAACUAAAGCUGAGCUGGCUUGCACAAGGCCCCAGUCCAAGUAACUUAGGAUCACACCCACUUUCCAGUGCCAAGCCUGAAUUUCUAACAACUUGGGUUCAGAUGGCAACUCUGCCCCUAACUGUGCAACUCUUGAGUAACACUCCCACUCGAAACCUUCCAAUCCUCACCUGUUGCACUGCUGGCUCCUGAGGGAUUCCAGAGGUACCACAUGUAGAUGGUGCUGUGGCUCAGAGCAGCACAUCUGGCAGGCAGCCAGUCAACCCGGUGUUACCCUGUUUAAGACCAAGAUACUCAAAGAAUACUAAAUCAGAAUCCUACACUGUCAUCCCAGCUCAGUUGUCAGUGCUGGAAACUUGUGAAUAAACAGCCUACCACAUGCAAGGCACUUUGCAAAUAUGUAUCAUUAACGCUGCAACCCUGUAAAGUAAAUGCCGAAAAGCACCUGCAGUUUGAAGAAGGGGAAACCCUGUUGACACGUGAGGACGUGAGGUCCUGCCUUUCUCCUGCGGUGCACUACUCUAUCGGCUGACGGCACCACACUGUAUGCAUCCAUUCUCCACGCACGGGCUUAUCGUUUGGUUUUUCCCAGUUUUUGCUACCAGAAAUCUCCCUGCAAUAAAAGUUUUUCCUAUGUG
This is a long non-coding RNA of Myotis davidii, 850 nucleotides long. RefSeq lists it as uncharacterized. The transcript has 2 exons. The record is from RefSeq and is a predicted model, not a curated record. NCBI's taxonomy places the organism in Eukaryota, Metazoa, Chordata, Mammalia, Chiroptera, Vespertilionidae.